Ictalurus punctatus (channel catfish) is the source of this 1274-nucleotide long non-coding RNA. The record is from Ensembl. NCBI's taxonomy places the organism in Eukaryota, Metazoa, Chordata, Actinopteri, Siluriformes, Ictaluridae.
UGUCCAUUAGUUUACAGGUGUUCAUUAGUUUACAGGUGUUCAUUAGUUUACAGGUGUUCAUUAGUUUACAAGUGUUCAUUAGUUUACAGGGGUUCCCCAGUUUACAAGUGUUCAUUAGUUUGCAAGGGUUCCCUGGUUUCCAAGUGUUCAUUAGUUUACAGGUGUUCAUAGGUUUCCAAGUGUUCACUAGUUUACAGGUGUUCAUAGGUUUACAAGUGUUCACUAGUUUACAGGUGUUCGAUAGUUUGCAAGUGUUCAUUAGUUUACAGGUGUUCAUAGGUUUAAAAGUGUCCAUUAGUUUACAGGUGUUCAUUAGUUUACAGGGGUUCCCCAGUUUACAGGUGUUCCUUAGUUUACAGGUGUUCCUUAGUUUACAGGUGUUCAGUAGUUUACAGUGGAUUCCUAGUUUACAAGUGUUCACUAAUUUACAGAUGCUCCCUAGUUUACAGGUGUUCCCUAAUUUAUAGGUGUUCCUUAGUUUACAAGUGUUCACUAAUUUACAGAUGAUCCCUAGUUUACAGGUGUUUCUUAGUUUACAAGUGUUCACUAAUUUACAGAUGAUCUUUCGUUUACAGGUGUUCACUAGUUUACAGUGUCCCUAUUGUACAUGUUCUCGAGUAUACAAGUGUCCCCUACUUUACAGGUGUUCCCUGGUUUGCAGGUGUUCUCUAGUUUAUUUGAAAUGUUCAGUGGUUUAGAGAUGUUCCUUAGUUUACAGGUGUUCUCUAGUUUACAUAGUUUACAGGUAUUCAAAAAUAUUCGGUGUCUCUAUUUUGCAGGUGUUCCCUGGUUGACAACUGUUCACUAUUCCUCAGUGUCCAUAUUUUACAAAUGUUCUCUAGUUUACAGGUCGUCCUUAGUUUACAAAUAUUUACUAGUAUUCAGUGUCACUAUUUUGCAAGUGUUGACUAGUUUACAAGUAUUCCCUCAUUUACAGAUGUUCAUUGAUUUACAGUGUCCCUGUUUUACGUGUCCCCUAGUGUUCGUUGUCCAUAUUUCACAAGUGGGCCCUAGUCUACAGGUGUUCAUUGGUUUUCAGUGUUCUUAGUUAACAAGUUUUCACUAGAUUCAGUGUCCAUAGUAUCCUUAGUUUAGGGAACACUAGUAAAAUAUGGACACUGAAUGCUAGGGUUUCCUAGUUACGUUGUUUCCUGGUUUUCAAUAACCAUAAUUUACUUGUCCUUCAAUUCCAGGUGUUUCCUAGUUGUUGAUGUCUUACCUUGCAGCAUAUGUACUUGAUCGUCAUUAAGAUUCUUUGGAUAGUUAAAGAUUCA